RNAcentral lists this ribosomal RNA (495 nucleotides) under uncultured bacterium. Its description in RNAcentral is "partial 16S ribosomal RNA". It matches the Rfam family "Bacterial small subunit ribosomal RNA", at positions 28 to 507 of the family's 1533-position model. The record is from RNAcentral.
GAUGAACGCUGGCGGCGUGCCUAAUACAUGCAAGUAGAACGCUGAAGGAGGAGCUUGCUCUUCUGGAUGAGUUGCGAACGGGUGAGUAACGCGUAGGUAACCUGCCUGGUAGCGGGGGAUAACUAUUGGAAACGAUAGCUAAUACCGCAUGACAACAGUUAUUGCAUGAUAACUGUUUAAAAGGGGCAACUGCUCCACUACCAGAUGGACCUGCGUUGUAUUAGCUAGUUGGUGAGGUAACGGCUCACCAAGGCGACGAUACAUAGCCGACCUGAGAGGGUGAUCGGCCACACUGGGACUGAGACACGGCCCAGACUCCUACGGGAGGCAGCAGUAGGGAAUCUUCGGCAAUGGACGGAAGUCUGACCGAGCAACGCCGCGGGAGUGAAGAAGGGUGUCGGAUCGUAAAGCUCUGUUGUAAGAGAAGAACGAGUGUGAGAGUGGAAAGUUCACACUGUGACGGUAUCUUACCAGAAAGGGACGGCUAACUACGUG